Molecule: ribosomal RNA, 464 nt
Filed under: uncultured bacterium
Lineage: Bacteria
Description: partial 16S ribosomal RNA
Rfam family: Bacterial small subunit ribosomal RNA
Source: RNAcentral
ACGAACGCUGGCGGCGUGCUUAACACAUGCAAGUCGAACGGAAAGGCCCUGCUUGCAGGGUACUCGAGUGGCGAACGGGUGAGUAACACGUGGGUGAUCUGCCCUGCACUUCGGGAUAAGCCUGGGAAACUGGGUCUAAUACCGGAUAGGAGCCAUUUUUAGUGUGAUGGUUGGAAAGGUUUUUCGGUGUAGGGUGAGCUCGCGGCCUAUCAGCUUGUUGGUGGGGUAAUGGCCUACCAAGGCGGCGACGGGUAGCCGGCCUGGGCGGGUGGACGGCCACAAUUGGGCUGGGGAUCGGCCCCGACUCCUACGGGAGGCCGCAGGGGGGAAUAUUGCACCAUGGGGGCAAGCCUGAUGCAGCGACGCCGCGUGGGGGAUGACGGCCUUCCGGUUGUAAACUCCUUUCGCUCGGGACGAAGCUUUUUGUGACGGUACCUAGAUAAGAAGCACCGGCUAACUACGUG